ACUCACCAGGUCAGGACACGGUAAGGAUUGACGGACUGAAGGCUCUUUCUCGAUUCCGUGGAAAGUGGUGCAUGGCCGUUUUGGUUGGUGGAUCGAUCCGUCUGGUUAAUUCCGUUAACGAACGAGACCUCGGCACUCCGAAUAGCGCGGCGGACGUCGCGGCCUCCGGGCCGUCUUCCGCACGAGCUUCUUAGAGGGACCGUCCCCCGCCGGGGAAGGAGGUGCGAGGCAACGACAGGUCUGUGAUGCCCUUAGAUGUUCUGGGCCGCACGCGCAUUACACUGACGCGUCCAACGGGUGACUCCCGACCCGAAGGGGCCGGGGAAUCCGCAAGGCGCGUCGUGAUGGGGAUUGAACGUUGCAAUUGUUGUUCACGAACGAGGAAUUCCUAGUAGGCGCGGGGUCAUCAACCCGCGCCGAUUACGUCCCUG
RNAcentral lists this ribosomal RNA (431 nucleotides) under uncultured eukaryote. RNAcentral's name for it is "bacterial SSU rRNA". It matches the Rfam family "Eukaryotic small subunit ribosomal RNA", at positions 1213 to 1655 of the family's 1831-position model. The record is from RNAcentral.